RNAcentral lists this ribosomal RNA (253 nucleotides) under uncultured bacterium. RNAcentral describes it as "partial 16S ribosomal RNA". It matches the Rfam family "Bacterial small subunit ribosomal RNA", at positions 524 to 776 of the family's 1533-position model. The record is from RNAcentral.
CACGUAGGGCGCAAGCGUUGUCCGGAAUUAUUGGGCGUAAAGAGCUCGUAGGCGGUCUGUUGCGUCCGCUGUGAAAACUCGGGGCUUAACCCCGAGCCUGCAGUGGAUACGGGCAGACUAGAGGUAGGUAGGGGAGAAUGGAAUUCCCGGUGUAGCGGUGAAAUGCGCAGAUAUCGGGAGGAACACCGGUGGCGAAGGCGGCUCACUGGCCCGGUACUGACGCUGAGGCACGAAAGCGUGGGGAGCAAACAGG